RNAcentral lists this long non-coding RNA (1470 nucleotides) under Malus domestica (apple). RNAcentral's name for it is "long non-coding RNA (MDOM_LNC008690)". Lineage: Eukaryota; Viridiplantae; Streptophyta; Magnoliopsida; Rosales; Rosaceae. The record is from RNAcentral.
CUUUAAACUUCAAAGCAUCCAAUGAGGAACCAAAAUACGAGGCCUUACUAGCACCCUCUACUAGCGAAAAACUUAUCGGUGAAGAAGCUUGCAAUCUAUUCAGAUUCUUAGCUGACCAUCGAUUAAGCCUCAGAAAACCACACUAUGAAACAUUUAAAGAUGGGUGUAAUACCUGUGCUUCCCACUUACACCCUUAAGCGAGUUCCACAAGUAAUUCGAAGUCUCAAGCAGAUUGCUAAACAAGACCGCACAGGUUAAGGAUUAUUUCAAUUGUCCAGCAGUCCAGCUUUCCUCAACUGCGUUCACGACAACGACUUUCAUGCCCUCUAAUGCGAGAGGGUAAAUCAAUUCCCUGACGCCUAUUUAGGUUUGCUCUCCAGCGAUAAGGUAAACUAAUUUCCCAACACCCAUUUAGGUUUACUCUCCAGGGCGAGAGGGUAAACCAAUUCCCCGACACCUAUAUGGGUUUGCUCUCCAGUGCUAAUUCCCCGAAACACAUUUGGUUCUACUCUCCAAUGCAAGAAGGAAAACUAAUUCCCAAACACCAUUUGGGUUUGCUCUCCAGUGCAAAAGGAUAAACUAAUUGCUCUCUAGUGUGACAGGGUAAACUAAUUCUCGGACACCCAUUUAAUGCGAGAAGAUAAACUAAUUGCUCUCCAGUGCAAGAGGGUAAACUAAUUCCUCGACACCCAUCUGGGUCUACUCUCCAGUGCGAGAGGAUAAACUAAUUGCUCUCCAGUGCGAGAAGGUAAAAUAAUUCUCCGACACCUAUCUGGGUCUGUUCUCCUGUGCGAAAGGAUAAACUAAUUGUUCUCCAAUUUGGGAAGGUAAACUAAUUCUCUAACACCCAUCUGGGUCUACUCUCCAAUGCGAGAGGAUAAACUAAUUGCUCUCUAGUACAAAAGGGUAAACUAAUUUCCCAACACCCAUCUGGGUCUGCUCUCCAGUGUGAGAGGAUAAACUAAUUGCUCUCCAGUGCGAGAGGGUAAACUAAUUCCUCGACACCUAUCUGGGUUUGCUCUCCAGUGGGAGAGGAUAAACUAAUUGCUCUCUAGUACGAAAGGGUAAACUAAUUCUCUGACACCCAUCUAGGUUUACUCUUCAAUGGAAAUUGGCAAACUGCCAAUGAAUUUCCACAUAACUACUCAUUUUGAUGUGAUUAGUUAACGACUUUCAUAUUUGGCCACACAUCUCAAAAGAUUUAAUACUCGAAUACUAGCUAAGUAGCAAAUAGUCAGGGGGCAGCUGCCAUUUCACACUCAACAGUUUGCUCAUCCGACACUUCAUCUUCAGUAGCUCCAUCCUCGAUUGCUCCAUCUACGGUAGUUAAGAAAUCAAACUCAAGUAACUUCCUCAUUCUUUGUAAGUAGCACAGAUAAGGCAGCCCAAACCGUGGCCCAUGCCAUGCUAUUUCCUCUACCCAAGUUGAGCUAGCCCUUGGCUCCAAUCAACACAAGCAGCACAAGUCAU